CAGGAACAAUAUCUACAUUUAAAAUGGAAACAUGAUUCCUCUAUUUUACUAAUAUCUUCUCCCUUUUUUCUGCUUUUAAACCCGUGAAGUUGUAAUCUCCUAGAAGAUAUCAAUCAUCAACCUAAAUCUCCUUAAAUCGGAUAUAUAUCAUCAAUACAAAUCAGUAUAUUAGUUCCUUCUUUAUUCUUUAUCUCCCCCGUUUCUCGCUAUAACCCUAUCAGAGACGACUAAGAAGGAGAAGCCAAAUUUCUGUUAAAUAAUUGUUUCUAAGAAACAACCAGAACAUUCAUGAUUGAUCUCUUCCAGGAGAUUACAACUCCAAAAGCUUCAAUUUUUGAGAUUUCCGGCGAGGCUGAUCGCAGAUCCGAUCAUCGUUGAUCUUUCGGUUGAAGGCUGUUGUUUAAACCCCCAUUUUUUCGAUAAUCAUCGUUGUUCAUCCUCUCCAUUAAUUUCCUUAUUCUCGAGCAAAUCCAAUCAGAUGUAAACUUUAUUCGUUGAUCUGUUAAUUAGGGUUUUCAUGCAUAUUUCAAUCGAUUUUUUAAAUUAGUGCUUCUGCAGAUUGUUUUGAAGUGUUCGCGUAUUAUAUCUGUGUAUAAUAACGUGAGUAUUUCGUUAUUCGAUUUUUUAUUUUAUCCAUAGAGAAGUCCACUGCUCAUUCCUAGAUUUUUUUAGCGUAAGGAGAGUGUAAUUUGAAAUUUUGAGGUUAGGUUUGCUUUAAAAAUGCAAAUGUAGAACAUUUAAAUUUCGUUGAUCACAUUAUAAAACCAAUAUAGAUGAGAAUGAGUUAAAAUAUCAUUUGUCUUGAGGUGUGCUUGCAGCUUUGUUCUUGUCUAUUUGUUCUUUGAAAUUACUUAACUAUAUUUAACAAUAGACAAAUUAACUUCUGGAUUAAAGUUUUGUUUUAUGGAUAUACACUUUUACUACUAAGAUGUUGUGUGGAAGUUACAUGUCAAUCUCACUAUAUGUUUGAUAUGCGAUUCCAAUCUUUUUAGGAGUAAUUACAUGGAAGAUGAAAUAUGGUGCUUCUACAAGUCACUAACGAUGCUGCUUUGUGGUCCUACUCAACUUUCAUGAGUUACGGAGUUUGUUUGCAAUAUAUAUUGUUUACUUGGUGUUUCAAUUGAUUAUUUAUGCUGAUUAGGUGCAGGACUCUAUACAUUUUGGCUUGCCGAUUUCUCUGUACUCUUUGUUAAGGUGCAUUAUUUGUUGGGUGCUCAGCUAAUUAGUGAGAUGUAAUCUUUGUACCUUUUCCCAAUUCUCUUCUGGACAUUUUCUUUUUUUAAUAUAAUAUUCUCCUAUGUUAAUUUCUUUUCUUCAAAAGUGAGAUUUUUUACUUAUAUACCCUCACCCUAACCAAUUGUUUAAUAGUGAUAUGUGUUUUGUUAGUUUAAUUUCUCAUGAAACUUAAAUCUGUUUAAUGGUGAUGUGUUUUAUUAGUUUAGAUUAUUAAUAAAUUUAAUCACGUUGUUUGUUAUUUUUGGUGUAAAUAAGAUCUUUGACUGAGUUUUCGUUUUUCAAAGUUCACGGAAUAGAUAUAUUUGAAAUGAGAGUUGGAUACUUUAAAAUGGGAAAAUCAUAAAUAAAAGUACUUAGAUAUCGUACUCUGAAGCUUAUCUGAAAGUUGGAUCCUAUAAAAUUUGAAAACUUGAAAAUUAAUUUAUCAGGUUAAAUAACUUUAAAGUAAUAAAGAUGAUAAGCUAAAUUUAGUUAAUAGUAUAAUAGAGCUAAAAAAAAAUGGUAAACCGUCCCAAAACCAAUGUAAAAUGUCAAUACGGAACAAUUACAAUAUUUUCGGUGUAUUUUGCAGGUA
This 1810-nucleotide long non-coding RNA is filed under the name Lactuca sativa (garden lettuce). RNAcentral's name for it is "long non-coding RNA (LSAT_LNC002134)". The record is from RNAcentral. Lineage: Eukaryota; Viridiplantae; Streptophyta; Magnoliopsida; Asterales; Asteraceae.